CAACAUCACUGGUGUCAUAGAUAUGGACGGAUUUACUAUUAACAAGAUAUUUUACUGCAAAGAACUUGCAUGCAUCAGAAAAGGACAAACCUAUGCCACAUCCACACUCUUCGACCUCGGCUUGCAAUGGAAGGACCUUAGCGAGAAAGAUAAAAAAGCAGCGCGUUUCGUGGAACGAUAUAUUCACAAAAUCUGACUCACAUCACCGCCCAACCAACCAACAGUCCCCCUAUUCCGUUUACCCGAUAUCAUUAAAGAAUUCUUCAGUGAACCAGAUGCAUUGGUGGCGUAUAAAGGGGGUCACUUCGAAAAGGAUCUGUUACGUCGAGUGGGCAUUCCCUCCAUCAAUCUCGAAUCUUCUGGGUGUCCUAAAACCGAACUACUUUUCAAGGAUCUUGGAUGGGUAGAAACCUGCGGACACCAUCUCACCCCAAACGCAUACCAUCAUUGCCCUAAAGUCGAUGUCGAAGCGUUUGCGACGUGGUUAUGGUAAAAAACAAAAAACGGUUCUUUUAAGAACCACUAUAUAUUAAAAG
Non-coding RNA from Paramuricea clavata, 536 nucleotides. Lineage: Eukaryota; Metazoa; Cnidaria; Anthozoa; Malacalcyonacea; Plexauridae. The record is from the annotation of a GenBank genome assembly.